Etheostoma cragini (Arkansas darter) is the source of this 130-nucleotide long non-coding RNA. RefSeq lists it as uncharacterized. The transcript is spliced from 3 exons. The record is from RefSeq and is a predicted model, not a curated record. Lineage: Eukaryota; Metazoa; Chordata; Actinopteri; Perciformes; Percidae.
UGAAGACACUAAGGCGAGAGAAAGGGGGAAAUAGCAUGCAGCAAACGGCCGUGGGUUGGAAUUGAACCCGGGCCACUGCGGUACGACAGAGACUUGGUACAUUGGGCGCACGCUCAACCAGGUGAGCUAC